CAUUUGCAGAAUUGAGAAGGACUGAGUAGGCAUUAGCGAGCAGAUAUAAAGAUAUUCUCAUACAUCUUUAUGUCUUAGAGCCUCAGAGAAGAGCAAGGACCUCUGCCCGACUAGGACUUAUCUCUUUGCCAGGGCUGCAAUCAGUUCAGCACAGUCUCUGUGCGUGGAAGGGACUAUGAGGGCCAUUUUGAGAUGUUUGAGAAGAAACUUCUGAGGAUGUCCCUUUACAGAGCAGCAGGAGAUUUGCUCUCUGUGUC
Molecule: long non-coding RNA, 257 nt
Filed under: Macaca nemestrina (pig-tailed macaque)
Lineage: Eukaryota; Metazoa; Chordata; Mammalia; Primates; Cercopithecidae
Description: lncRNA (ENSMNEG00000045810.1)
Source: RNAcentral